This 74-nucleotide transfer RNA is filed under the name Patescibacteria group bacterium. RNAcentral describes it as "tRNA-Phe". It matches the Rfam family "tRNA". From Rfam's summary of the family: Transfer RNA (tRNA) molecules are approximately 80 nucleotides in length. Their secondary structure includes four short double-helical elements and three loops (D, anti-codon, and T loops). The record is from RNAcentral.
CGGCCCAUAGCUCAGCUUGGCAGAGCACCGGGGUAAAAACCCGAAUGUCGCUGGUUCAAUUCCAGCUGGGCCGA